Cavia aperea (Brazilian guinea pig) is the source of this 118-nucleotide small nucleolar RNA. The record is from Ensembl. NCBI's taxonomy places the organism in Eukaryota, Metazoa, Chordata, Mammalia, Rodentia, Caviidae.
AGGAACAAUCACACUCAAAGUUCCCAUUCAUGGUGUGAAACUUAAGACCAAAGACUGAAGUUCUACAUAGGAUGUCCUAAUCUACUCAAUAGUGCUGUUUUCCUGAGGAGAUACAAAA